UGGAAGCGGUUCUGCUGAUUAAUGUUUUCUUCUAGCACAAUAUGAUCAUUGUUUUGAUCUCUUGGAUUCUCCAGAGUUUUGAGUGUCUUUAUCAGCAUGCGAUCUCCGAAAUUUUUCAUUCCAAGCUACAAAUGUCUUUUCUCUACUUUUAUUUACUUUAGAUUUAUUGUUGUUUGAAAUCGCCAAGGAUAGCAAUCCACAUUUAUGAUCGAAACUACUAUAUGAAUUUGCCCUCUGAUCGUGGUGUUUAUAUAUUUUGGUUAUUGGAUUGAGCAUUUAUGCUAGAGUGUCUAACAGUUGCAGAUGUGGUGCUAUGGAGGAGAGAUGUAACGGUACUGCUUGGAUUGCUGGCUGCUUGGUUGGUCCUUGAAAGAUCUGGUUAUAUUCUGCUGUCCUUUGUUUCUAACCUUAUGCUGCUUCUGAUUUCCAUUCUUUUUACGUGGGCAAGGGCUGCUGCAAUUCUUAACAGGAUAAUAUUGACUUCAAGCAUUGUACUGACGAAUAAAAGACGAUAUGUAUUCUCAAAAUGACUGCAAAUAGAUAUAGAGAUCGACGACAUAGACUUCAUAAAUACUGCAAUGAGCUGGAGGCGAAGGGGAUUGAUCCUAUAAUCCAGUCUUAUAAAAAUUGGAUUGGGUCUAGUGAUGAUUGGCGGUGGUUAUGCAAGCAUUUUGGGAGUGAAGCAUUUCAGAGGCGAAUAAGGUGAAUAGGAGUAAGAUUGAUUCUAUUCACAUGAAGUACCACUUUUGCAUAGAGAAUAAAGAGGAUGGUACGUAACUACAUUUGCAAUUAUACUUUGUAAGUUCUUAUUAAAUAUUUAUAUUACUCAUUUUUCUGGGCAUAGCAUGCGAUCAAAAAAAAUCUCGCAGUUCGUCGUCUGAUCGAUCUGAUGAUGCAUCGGUGCCAGAGGCAGUUAGGACAUCGAUGAGCAUGAUGCAAAAUCAAAUUACUUAUUGGAUGAAUCGUAGUCAGACGCUCGAGAGGAUAGUGGCUGUGAUGGUGGGAUGGCUCGGUAUCGAUGCUUCCGAGUUAGCACCUCUACAGUCGCAUGAUGCCGCCUCUGCAUAGCCAUUGCGAAACAUAUCGGGUCAGGGAUCAAUGUCUGAAGGAGGGAACGAGGCCAACAACUUUGAUGAUACAUAAUUUAUAGUUUUUUUAAAUUUUAAAUGGUGUAUAAAUUUAUAUUUUUGUAUAUGACAAC
Elaeis guineensis (African oil palm) is the source of this 1201-nucleotide non-coding RNA. NCBI's taxonomy places the organism in Eukaryota, Viridiplantae, Streptophyta, Magnoliopsida, Arecales, Arecaceae. The record is from RefSeq and is a predicted model, not a curated record.